UACGGAGGGUGCAAGCGUUAAUCGGAAUUACUGGGCGUAAAGCGCGCGUAGGCGGAUUCUUAAGUCAGGAGUGAAAGCCCUCGGCUCAACCGAGGAAUAGCUUUUGAUACUGGGAGUCUUGAGUUCAGGAGAGGGUGGCGGAAUUCCAGGUGUAGGAGUGAAAUCCGUAGAGAUCUGGAGGAACAUCAGUGGCGAAGGCGGCCACCUGGACUGAUACUGACGCUGAGGUG
RNAcentral lists this ribosomal RNA (230 nucleotides) under uncultured microorganism. RNAcentral's name for it is "partial 16S ribosomal RNA". It matches the Rfam family "Bacterial small subunit ribosomal RNA", at positions 524 to 753 of the family's 1533-position model. The record is from RNAcentral.